CAGAUGCCGAGGAGUCAAAAGGGACCCACAUGUCUGUCCUUGAGCUUUACGUCUGGGAUGCGUCCGAACACAUGCAUCGCUCAUGGUGAAGGCGUCCGAACACGUGGGAUUGACUCGAAGUCGUGUCAGUGUCAGUUUCCGCAGACAGUGAAGGGCAACGCCCAGUUUUUUAUCUCGCGGCGCCGGAAUGACAACGACGCCAUUGGCUGCGGCGACGAGGAAUUCUGAUUGGUCACGGAUGAGAGGAUGGCGUCUAUUGGCUGGCAUUAAAAAAGAAAGAAGCCUUGUGAUUGGACAGCUGAUGAGGAGAACUUCGCGGAGGCGGUCGACGACGGGAGCUCGACACCCUGACCCUGAUUUAACCUGUUUGAACUCCAUUAAGAAGCGAUUAUAAAAACGUUAAUUAGACUUUACUUAAAGCUUUAUUGAAUUCUUAUGUCUGAUUUACUGGAUAAGGAAUUUGAUGGUCCUUAUUCUUUCUUCUUUUAAUCGUUCAUACUGUUGAAGAUUUCCUUUUCUGUUGGCUGCAUAACUCGUUUGUUAGACUGGCUGUGUAUUCCUUUUUAGACUAAUUGUUUUAGAGUGUAUUUUUUCUUUCAAAGUUGGAAGUUGUUUUGUAAAUAUUAUUUAUUUUAAGGCAA
This is a long non-coding RNA of Penaeus vannamei (Pacific white shrimp), 641 nucleotides long. RefSeq lists it as uncharacterized. The record is from RefSeq and is a predicted model, not a curated record. NCBI's taxonomy places the organism in Eukaryota, Metazoa, Arthropoda, Malacostraca, Decapoda, Penaeidae.